UGCGAUCAUGAUACUGGUCCUGGGAGGACCUCUCUGAAUGAGUAGGACUUCUCCUAUAAUCAUGAUGACGGCUUCUUUCAUAUGGGGAUUUAUCACGUCCAUAUGGAGACCUCUCUCGUCCAUAUGGUGAUUUCUCACGUCCAUAAGGUGAUCUCUCACGUCCAUAAGGUGAUCUCUCACGCCGAUAGGGGGAUCUCUCGCGACGCACUGGACUCCUAUCCCUGUAAUCAUAGUACCUGACUCUAUCACGUGGGGACCGCUCAGAAAAAACUGGACUGCGUCCAUGCCUAUCAUAAACUACUUUGGAAGAUAAAG
This 315-nucleotide long non-coding RNA is filed under the name Manihot esculenta (cassava). RNAcentral's name for it is "long non-coding RNA (MESC_LNC007778)". Lineage: Eukaryota; Viridiplantae; Streptophyta; Magnoliopsida; Malpighiales; Euphorbiaceae. The record is from RNAcentral.